UCGGCAACGGAUAUCUCGGCUCUCGCAUCGAUGAAGAACGUAGCGAAAUGCGAUACUUGGUGUGAAUUGCAGAAUCCCGUGAACCAUCGAGUCUUUGAACGCAAGUUGCGCCCGAAGCCAUUUGGUUGAGGGCACGUCUGCCUGGGCGUCACGUUAACACAUCUCCCACAAACCCUUCCCCAUGUCUUGGGGCAAGGAUUUUGUGGCGAGAAGAAUUGGCCUCCCGUGUAACAUUG
This 236-nucleotide ribosomal RNA is filed under the name Bergenia emeiensis. RNAcentral describes it as "5.8S ribosomal RNA". The stretch from base 1 to 151 matches the Rfam family "5.8S ribosomal RNA". Rfam says of the family: 5.8S ribosomal RNA (5.8S rRNA) is a component of the large subunit of the eukaryotic ribosome. It is transcribed by RNA polymerase I as part of the 45S precursor that also contains 18S and 28S rRNA. Functionally, it is thought that 5.8S rRNA may be involved in ribosome translocation. The record is from RNAcentral. Lineage: Eukaryota; Viridiplantae; Streptophyta; Magnoliopsida; Saxifragales; Saxifragaceae.